RNAcentral lists this ribosomal RNA (294 nucleotides) under uncultured bacterium. RNAcentral describes it as "partial 16S ribosomal RNA". It matches the Rfam family "Bacterial small subunit ribosomal RNA", at positions 28 to 314 of the family's 1533-position model. The record is from RNAcentral.
GAUGAACGCUGGCGGCGUGCCUAAGACAUGCAAGUCGAACGCGGGACGGGGAGCAAUCCUUGUCCUGAGUGGCGAAUGGGUGCGUAACACGUAGGUGACCUGCCCCGAAGUGGGGAAUAACAGUCCGAAAGGACUGCUAAUACCGCAUACGGCGGACCGGGUUAGAGGCCGGUUCGCGAAAGGUUCCGCAAGGGACCGCUUUGGGAGGGGCCUGCGGCCCAUCAGCUAGUUGGCAGGGUAACGGCCUACCAAGGCGACGACGGGUAGGGGACCUGAGAGGGUGACCCCCACCAC